GACGAACGCUGGCGGCGUGCUUAACACAUGCAAGUCGAACGGAAAGGCCCUGCUUUUGUGGGGUGCUCGAGUGGCGAACGGGUGAGUAACACGUGAGUAACCUGCCCUUGACUUUGGGAUAACUUCAGGAAACUGGGGCUAAUACCGGAUAGGAGCUCCUGCUGCAUGGUGGGGGUUGGAAAGUUUCGGCGGUUGGGGAUGGACUCGCGGCUUAUCAGCUUGUUGGUGGGGUAGUGGCUUACCAAGGCUUUGACGGGUAGCCGGCCUGAGAGGGUGACCGGCCACAUUGGGACUGAGAUACGCCCCAGACUCCUACGGGAGGCAGCAGUGGAGAAUAUUGCACAAUGGGCGGAAGCCUGAUGCAACAACGCCGCGUGCGGGAUGACGGCCUUCGGGUUGUAAACCGCUUUCGCCUGUGACGAAGCGUGAGUGACGGUAAUGGGUAAAGAAGCACCGGCUAACUACGUG
This 468-nucleotide ribosomal RNA is filed under the name uncultured bacterium. RNAcentral describes it as "partial 16S ribosomal RNA". It matches the Rfam family "Bacterial small subunit ribosomal RNA", at positions 28 to 507 of the family's 1533-position model. The record is from RNAcentral.